AAAUUUGCACAGUCAAAGCACACUUUUAGAGCUUCUGGUGAAAAGGUCGUGUAGAGUGAAAACAUAGCAACCAUAGAAAACGGUUUUUACUGUUUGGCUAAGUGUCACUGAUGUUGGGUAUAUUUUUAUAUGUUUUGAUGUUACUUUACCUAUGUUUUAACCGCUUUUUGUUGCUAUUUGGUGUUAAAAAUGCCCAACAUGGUUUAAUUAUUGGUUUUAUGACUAAUUGAGUUGUGUGUGAUGAUUUAGGGUGUUUGGAGUGCAAAAAUAUGAAGAAAAGAUGCUCCAACUAGAGGAGAAAAGGUUACUUGAUGCACCCCUUAGCAGUGAAGUCGGCCCAUAGCAUCUCCAUAGCAUCCGCACCUGGGCAAGGCUGAGAUGGAGGAACAAAGGGUAGGUGCAUGCGAAGCUGAGAAGCGGAGGACCCAACAUCAAUCCCUGAAGCUGAGUCGGACUAGGAAUAGGAGAACUUUAGCCCACGACUUUUGUACGCACUAUAUAAGCCAAAAACGCCUCUUUUAGGUGAUCUAACAUACUUUUUGAAGGG
Molecule: long non-coding RNA, 547 nt
Filed under: Nicotiana tabacum (common tobacco)
Lineage: Eukaryota; Viridiplantae; Streptophyta; Magnoliopsida; Solanales; Solanaceae
Description: long non-coding RNA (NTAB_LNC013327)
Source: RNAcentral